ACGGGAGGCAGCAGUGGGGAAUAUUGGACAAUGGGGGAAACCCUGAUCCAGCCAUACCGCGUGUGUGAAGAAGGCCUUCGGGUUGUAAAGCACUUUCAGUGGGGAGGAAAAGGUUCUGGCUAAUAUCCAGGAUCCGUGACGUUACCUACAGAAGAAGCACCGGCAAGCUCCGUGCCAGCAGCCGCGGUAAU
This 191-nucleotide ribosomal RNA is filed under the name uncultured bacterium. RNAcentral describes it as "partial 16S ribosomal RNA". It matches the Rfam family "Bacterial small subunit ribosomal RNA", at positions 341 to 524 of the family's 1533-position model. The record is from RNAcentral.